RNAcentral lists this transfer RNA (70 nucleotides) under Loxodonta africana (African savanna elephant). It matches the Rfam family "tRNA". From Rfam's summary of the family: Transfer RNA (tRNA) molecules are approximately 80 nucleotides in length. Their secondary structure includes four short double-helical elements and three loops (D, anti-codon, and T loops). Lineage: Eukaryota; Metazoa; Chordata; Mammalia; Proboscidea; Elephantidae. The record is from Rfam by way of RNAcentral.
GCAUUGGUGGUUCAGGGUAGAAUCGUCACCUUCCAUGGGGGAGGCCCAGGUUCGAUCCCUGGUCAAUGUG